GGCCGGUUGGCCCAAUGGCAAGGCGUCUGACUACGAUUCAAAUCAGUUAUCAGGAGAUUCUGGGUUCGACCCCCAGGCUGGUCA
This is a non-coding RNA of Colletotrichum acutatum, 84 nucleotides long. Lineage: Eukaryota; Fungi; Ascomycota; Sordariomycetes; Glomerellales; Glomerellaceae. The record is from the annotation of a RefSeq genome assembly.